This is a long non-coding RNA of Seriola aureovittata, 2840 nucleotides long. RefSeq lists it as uncharacterized. The transcript has 4 exons. The record is from RefSeq and is a predicted model, not a curated record. NCBI's taxonomy places the organism in Eukaryota, Metazoa, Chordata, Actinopteri, Carangiformes, Carangidae.
AGCCCUGCGGCGGUGCGUGCAUCCUGCAGCAGCCGGCGGGGAGCGCUCCCUCCCGGUUGGACGGGACGCUCAGAGGAGGCGAGCGGAGCGGAGAGGAGUCGCUGCACCGACCGCGGUUUCUGCUAAUUUAUGGCCGCUACACGUGUCUCUAUUCCCCGCACGGAGUUUUGACGAACGCCGCUCCGGGAUGGCCGAUCAUGGUGCAGGGUGAAGGGGAGAGAGAAUAAAGUGCUGUCGGUGCAGAUAUUUGGGGGGAAGCUGAAGCUCUGCGGCGGCAGCCCGGGACGCACCGGUGGGGGUUUCACAUGCAGGAUGAUACACCUGAGCUCUGCUGCCGUCACCUGUGAUGAGCCCCACACAGAACUGAUCCUGCGAACGAGCCCUUCACACAAAACCGUGUUGAUGAAAACAAGAAUGAUCUGUUUGUGAAAUAAUCACACUCAGGUUUAAACUCACUUACCACAAGGUCCAUUUAGUGACUGUUCUGGAGCUUUAACAUGCAUCACAUGAUCUUCCUCAGUCAAACACUUUAACUGACGCCUUAUCCAAAUACAUUUUCUUCAAACGCCAUCUGCUUAGGAAGACAAUACAAUUCGAUCAAAUUCUCCAGAACAGCUACUGAAUCAAGCCUGUGGUCAACUUCACCUCAUGUAUUCAUUUCUCAAUAACUAAAAACUCCACGUGAAGCUGCGUCACAAAUGUUUGAAUUUGAAUGAUCUAGCAGACAGGGAGGCUCUCAUGAGGGGCGCUACCCAGUUGCAUUAUGGGACGAUUGAGGCCACAGUUCAGACCAACUUUAGUCCUGUUUAAAGGAAUGCAGCUGAUUUGACCAGGAUCGUCUCACGACGCAGCGGAGGCCAGCGCAGAAAGCUCUGGUAGAAAAGUUGAACCUGACUCUGCAAAGUGAUGUCAUCCAGGAAGAAGCUGCAGUGGCCAUUCACACACGUGACCUCAUGUUCCUGGUAAAAUCCUGCGAGGUGCAGAACUCAUGGGUCUGUUAGUCAAACCGAACCGAGCAUUAAAACAGAGAAUGUGAGUGAACAACAGCUGCUAGCAAAGACAACAAGGUUUUCCGUCGUCCUGGGCUGCGGGCGGCGAGCGGCGAGUCGUCUGAGGUUAAUGAACAGAAGCUUUUAUGUUAAUAGAAGGACAGCCGGCGUGAUUUAACAAGACAAUCUGCAGAUUUACUUCGCUCAAAUACAUCUGAGCUGCGGCUGCACGUUAUUAGUUGGCUAAAUAACGUCUCAGCGAUGAAGGUCAAGACAAAGAGAAGGUGAGCUCUGAGGCCUCAACAGACGAGCUGAUUCACACUGAGGAGAAACUCACGCUGUUUUUAGCUGAGGUGAAAGCACACACUCAUCACUGAUGGAGAUUCAUCCUGCAGGUAAAGGUGUGUCAGAUCACCCGUGGGUGGACGGCUGACGUCAACACAUUUUUAUAUAUUUUUUUUUUAUUUAUUUCAAGCAAAGUUUUAGUCCCAGUUUGACUUUUAUUCAGGUUAAAGGUUCAGAUUCUUUCUGACCUGACGACUGGGAUCAAAGUCAGGUUUAAUAACUUUGUGGUUUGGAGUCAGUGAGCUGAGAAAUCUGACAGUUUUAAUCAGUUUCUCAUGAACUCCUGAAUCUAAUCCAUGUCUGUUAGUGUGAGCUGAGUGGAGGAGCAAGUAUUCAGAUACUUUACUUUAAAGCUCCAUACAGUCUAAAGGCAGAUGUCCAUGUGUAGUUUGAUUAUAGAUCAGGUCUAGGUUCUAUAUUAAUACUUUGAAAGUAUCAAAGCCUCAGUCCACAGAGAAAUGCACACAGCCUGUAUUCAGACACUGAGCCUUAAAACCAGCCGUCAGGACUUCUGGAAAUUUGUGAUGUGACAACAAAGCAGUCACCGCUCUCAGCCACGCCACAAGCCCCGCCCACCUGGACCCACCAUCCAGCCUCCAUUUGGUUUCUCUCGCAGUCUCCCAGACUGCUGAUGGUGGCAGUUUUUUGGGUUUGUGUUAAUCUCUGUGUGUUUGUGGUGUGUUUGAUGAAUGUAUCAUGUGAUCAGUAGAGGUUGGGUUGAUCCGGUUGAGUCUUUAAUAUUUUCGAAUUAAUUUCCUGGAGCUCCGCUGCCGUUUGACUCAUCGUUUGUUAAAAAUCAUCUACAUCUGUGUCACAAUUUCAAUCCUUUCAGUUUGUAGAUCAUUAUUAUGCUGUUUAUCAAAAAUCUAGAUUUUUUUAUUUUACUGGUAAAUUCAUACAGAAGUCAAGCAAAGGAAGCAGCAGUCCACAUGACCAGAAACCUGGACCAGGUGUUUCUGAAACCAGGACGUGAAUCAAGAUGAUCAGGAUUCUUCUAAAGUCCAGUCCAGAGAUAAAUAGAAAAUGAAAAUAGAAUUAGAAAGUUGCACAGUGAUAAUGUUGUUCUGUGAGAUCAUAGAACACAUACAUACAGCCCAGUGUGUGUGUGUGUGUGUGUGUGUGUGUUGCGUUGUUGAACGGAGCGCAGCACUCAACAGUGUCAGAAAAGCAGCCUGAGGCGCCAUCUAGAGGCGAGCAACUGAAAUUACACUACGGUGUGUGAACAGAGUCACAGCAUGAAGUCCUGAGCUAUCUGAAUAAACCAGAGCAAUCAUCAUCAUCAUCAUCAUCAUCAUCAUCAUCAUCAUCAUCAUCAUCAUCAUCAUCCUGCUAACGACAACAGGUAGGACAGGUAUCAGCUCCAGGCAUCAGACAGUAAAUAUGAACUGAAUUAUUGUGUGAACUGUAGAAAUAAAUCUACUGUCUAGUCCACUGAACUAAAAUACUGUCAUCACUGUGAUGUUUGGUUCAUUUCUAUAUUAAAAUCAAAACUACAUACAUGACAUU